GGGGAGACCAUGUCCUGGUGGAACGUGAGUAUGCAUUUCUUUUUUUAGUGCUCUGAGCAAAUCAUAUUCUUACUUCUUAGCAAUGCAUUGAUUUAAGUAUGUGCAUGUUUCUGAAAAGUACUAUGCAUAUAUUUCAUGUGACAUUUAAAAUUGUUCUACAUAUAUUACUACUAACAAAAAAUAAAGUGAUUUCCUGCUACCAUAGAUUUACAGAGAUAAAAUGAUUCCUAUUAUUGGCACAUGUGAAAGUGUGUGCCACACAUUUUUUAUCUGUUGUAUCUGUUGAUCAGUCACUCGUAGUUGACCAUAACAUGAUUAAAAUCAUCUAAACCAUUGAAUUCUGGCUUAUUUCCUCUAUUCUUUUGCUGAUGCUGCACCAAU
RNAcentral lists this unclassified non-coding RNA (381 nucleotides) under Hevea brasiliensis (rubber tree). The record is from RNAcentral. Lineage: Eukaryota; Viridiplantae; Streptophyta; Magnoliopsida; Malpighiales; Euphorbiaceae.